CUUUCCCAGACUUUGCAGAUUGACCUGUAUGAGAAAAACGGAAGCUAAGAGAAGAAAGUAACAUGCUCAAGCUCACAAGAGGAUGCAGAGUGCUGCAGGGUCCUGAUGAUCAUUGAGUAGCAAAACAGCAUGAUCCCCAAGGGGAUCACCA
Long non-coding RNA from Choloepus didactylus (southern two-toed sloth), 151 nucleotides. RefSeq lists it as uncharacterized. The record is from RefSeq and is a predicted model, not a curated record. Lineage: Eukaryota; Metazoa; Chordata; Mammalia; Pilosa; Megalonychidae. The transcript is spliced from 3 exons.